ACUGGACUGAGGGUCAGAAGGC
Molecule: microRNA, 22 nt
Filed under: Pongo pygmaeus (Bornean orangutan)
Lineage: Eukaryota; Metazoa; Chordata; Mammalia; Primates; Hominidae
Description: ppy-miR-422a
Gene: ppy-miR-422a
Source: miRBase by way of RNAcentral